GGGUGAGAUUAGGUCAUUAGGAUAUGGACAAAGUUUACCCACAAGCUACAAUUACCAAAAACUCUUUUAGGUCCAUUCAGAGUGGAUGUGAGUUUUUAGUUUAAAAUCGAAUUUGAUAACAAAAUCUGUUUAGCAAAAAUGGUGCUAAUUUUAAUUUCAAGUCAGUUUUAAAAUACUUUUUAUUCAGUUUUGUAAAUAAAAAAAGAGGUUUAGACCUAUACACACAUCAUGUACGCGCAUCAGCUACGCAUUCUUAGACAACUUCUGAUCCUCCAUCAUUUCUCUUCUCUCAUCUCUCCCCUACGCAUGUGACUGUGCAGGAAAAACAAGCAGCUUUUUUUUAGAAGAAAAUGAGUACGCACUUGUUGUCAUCGACCUAGUGGGAAAACGAAGAUAUGAUUGAUUCAAGGCCAUGCGAAUGUGAAAUAUUAAGGGCUUUUAUUUUCAUCAGUUGUUACUUUGGAUAAUCUAAUAACCAUCAUCAGAACGUGCACGCAAUUAUAUCAUCGUGGCAUAAAGGAUGUGGAACCUGUUAUAAAAAAAGAUGCAUGAUGAUCUUAUUUUUGCAACAAAAAAUUGUAAAUAUGAAAAACUAAAAAUUAAAACUGGUUUUGAUUUUCAAAAAUUUCAAAAGUAAAAACAAAAAACAAUACCGAACAGGGCCUUAAUAUUUUAUUAAGGUGAUAACUCCAAGGGAGCCAAUGAGUUUUCCAUAUUGGAUUUAGACUGUUUCUCGGUUGCAUACUCGAUUUUUUUUUUUUGUGAAACAUCAAAUUAUGUUGCAGUUCGACAGGGUUGUGUAAAUGUUUUGUAUUAUGCAAAAUGCAGCAACGAAUUUUUCACAGCCUGCUUCGAAGCAGUGGAUAUAUUAGCAACGACGCGACCUCUUGUUGUUUGGUGGAACUCCUCGCCAUUUUUUGUGGUCUUCAUGCGUGUUGCUUGUUGGGAUAAGGUUGUUGUAGAAUCCUACAGUUGAUCGACUUUGUCUCUCAUUCAACACCCACACGACCUAUUUCAUGUUUAUGCAAGUAUUAUUAUUUAGCAUACCUUGCGGGAAGAAAAUAUAACAACAGACUUCUUAGCCUAACUAGGAUCCUCUUCUAAGCUUGGUUUUCAAAUCUAUCAUAAGGCUCAUUUGAGCAUUUUGUCUGUUUUGCUUGCCGAUUAUUUGGGUGUCAUAAAUCUUAGGAGUUUGUUUUUCUUUGUAUUCGAUCCUUCUUGUAGCAAAAAAGACUUUCACUUUUCAGAGCAUAUGUCAUGUUUGACAAUAAAAACCACAUAGUAUGAAAUUGUCUCUAUAUUUUCUUUUUAGGAUUUCCUAUGGAUUCCAUGCACAAACA
Molecule: long non-coding RNA, 1340 nt
Organism: Lotus japonicus
Lineage: Eukaryota; Viridiplantae; Streptophyta; Magnoliopsida; Fabales; Fabaceae
Exons: 3
Source: RefSeq, a predicted model, not a curated record